GUGAAUCAUCGAAUUUUUGAACGCAAAUUGCACUCUCCUCGGAGAGUAUGCCUGUUUGAGGGUCAGCCUAUAAAAAAUCGACAUCGUUUCUGUUGCGCGGUGGCGUUCGUCGGAAAUUGGGUCAUCGUAAAUCCUUUUUGUGUUUAAGCGACUUAAAAUUUGCGUGUUGGUUCCAUGAACGUUUCUAAGAUUUAUUUCUUUACACGUUUGAGGUAUCUAUUUUUAUUAGACUUGACCAUCAUAUCGGAUCGCGUCCAUAAUCUGUCAUUAAC
This 272-nucleotide unclassified non-coding RNA is filed under the name Glomus sp. RNAcentral's name for it is "partial contains 5.8S ribosomal RNA and internal transcribed spacer 2". The stretch from base 1 to 65 matches the Rfam family "5.8S ribosomal RNA", at positions 84 to 154 of the family's 154-position model. Lineage: Eukaryota; Fungi; Glomeromycota; Glomeromycetes; Glomerales; Glomeraceae. The record is from RNAcentral.